This is a long non-coding RNA of Patella vulgata (common limpet), 1320 nucleotides long. RefSeq lists it as uncharacterized. NCBI's taxonomy places the organism in Eukaryota, Metazoa, Mollusca, Gastropoda, Patellidae. The transcript has 3 exons. The record is from RefSeq and is a predicted model, not a curated record.
ACGGUCAGUUCCGAGACCCCAGGAUAAAGGAUGACUUGGGCGCCAUUUAUAAAGUUCCCACUCAGCUGCUGUUUGAAGGUUAUGCCGGGGAAGCUAAGAGAAUGUUGGAUUUUAUUAAGGAACGAUUCCUACAACCCAAUGGCGACUUUUUGUCUCAUCCAGAAAUUAAGGGCUGGAAAGGGAAAACCGACGAUUGGCACAUAUCUUACUUAUGGGGCUAUACUAAUGGGUGGAUUGCCAUGGCGGCACAAAGAGCGGGAAGAUAUGACAUAGCCAUUCCCGCCAUAAAUUACAUGAGAACAUUCUACAAUCCCGUCCAGAAGGCCUUCACCUGGUAUGAACCUUAUAGAAGUGAUGGUGGUGGAAAGGGCCUGGAACAGACUCUUUGUUCUUUCUACGCCGCCCAUGUUGGAUUCAUCAUGUUAUUUUUUGGUGACAUAUCAACUGCUGUAGAAUGUGGAAACUUUAUCAAGAAAGUUGUUGAUCUUCAACCGAGAAUGGACGACGAGUUUUUCUUAAAAAUUCGCGGAGACACUGGAGAUUUGUUCAUAGAUGGUAUCCCGGGUGACAAGAGAGAUUUCUUCACUUGUAAAAGAGAUGCGCCGAAUCAGCGGUACUAUCACCUUGGUUACCCAGUUAUGUUUCUGGUCAAGUUGUAUCUCGCGACACGGGAUGAGAAGUAUAUGGUUACAGCUAGAACUAUCCUGGAAUUCACAGUUUCUUGUGGGGCUCCUGUCUACACAUAUAAUAAAAGUCACAAGGUCAUGUAUGGCGCUGCGUUAUUUGCCGCCGUAACAAAAGAGAAAGCCUACAAGGAAAUGGCGGAGAAAAUAGCUGAGAAUAUGUUGAAUUACCAGGAUAAGGAGGGGCGUUUCCUGCCGGACUCCACCAUUAUAGAAACAUACGAUCAAACAGCAGAGAACUGUGGCUGGUUCAGGGAAAUAUUUGCCGAAUUUCAAAAUUUCUAAACUUUUUUUUUCUCUCUUUUCAAUGUGACAUCCCGUUCAGAAAUUUUAGAUGGCCGAAAUAACCAUUAGGCCCCUUUUCUAUGUACGCGUUUGUGCCGGUUAUACGGAAACAGUCCCAUUACAUUAGCGUUAGAUCGACUAUUUCUACGGCGAAUACGCCGCAUAAACACGCACUUGGACAACGGGCCUUUCAAAAUCAAGUAGACUAUAUUUUUCUCAUCAGCGAUUGUUCACAAAAUAUGUUUUACUUUUCAAUGUCAUAAUAUACCGUAUCGAUCAGAAUCACCCUUUAAAUCUUCAAAUUUAACAACAAUUGUCUAGUCAGUGGUCGUUUCCUCCCUGACUAAAACCC